CCCCUGGUGGUCUAGCAGCUAGGAUUCCUGUUUUUCAUUCAGGCUACCCAGAUUCAAUCCCUGGGCAGGGAA
This 72-nucleotide transfer RNA is filed under the name Bos taurus (domestic cattle). It matches the Rfam family "tRNA". From Rfam's summary of the family: Transfer RNA (tRNA) molecules are approximately 80 nucleotides in length. Their secondary structure includes four short double-helical elements and three loops (D, anti-codon, and T loops). Further hydrogen bonds mediate the characteristic L-shaped molecular structure. tRNAs have two regions of fundamental functional importance: the anti-codon, which is responsible for specific mRNA codon recognition, and the 3' end, to which the tRNAs corresponding amino acid is attached (by aminoacyl-tRNA synthetases). tRNAs cope with the degeneracy of the genetic code in two manners: having more than one tRNA (with a specific anti-codon) for a particular amino acid; and 'wobble' base-pairing, i.e. permitting non-standard base-pairing at the 3rd anti-codon position. The record is from Rfam by way of RNAcentral. RNAcentral also lists the same sequence under 1 other name. Lineage: Eukaryota; Metazoa; Chordata; Mammalia; Artiodactyla; Bovidae.